Molecule: long non-coding RNA, 1225 nt
Filed under: Malus domestica (apple)
Lineage: Eukaryota; Viridiplantae; Streptophyta; Magnoliopsida; Rosales; Rosaceae
Description: long non-coding RNA (MDOM_LNC007889)
Source: RNAcentral
GAUAACCACCCUCCGGUGCUUUCUCUUUCUGGGGCUCUACCGACUGCUGAGACUUCCCCUAAGCAACCUUUGUGAAGGCUUCCUUUUGUUUGUUUAUUUUGACUCAUGUAUAUGUACAUAUUUGUGGCUUAUCGAAAAAUAUUAAUAAAUAAGCUUUGCUUCAUUUCAACAUAUUGUGUUAAAUACACCAAAGCCUUCUUCAUAAAGUUCUUUGAAUUUUUUGCUUUUGUUGAAACCUGUAUUGUUGAAGCUUUGUGAGUGAAGCAUGUAGUUUGAGGUAGUGUUCCCUUAAUUUCCCGAGUGAGGAAAACUUCUCGGUUGGAGACUUGAAAAAUCCAAGUCACUGAGUGGUUGUGAGACUGCCGAGUGUCAAGGUGCAGUAGCAUAUGGUGGGAGUCCCCCAAGUCUUCAGGCGAAGAGAGUUGCCGAAUGAGGUGUCUAGCUAGUAGUCAAUGUCAUGAGUAGGAAAACUUCACUUGUUUCUUUUCGAAGUGGUAACCCAGGGCUCGUUCUUCAUAUAUUGUUUUUUUUGUUAUGAAGAUGUGUUUAGGCCCAAAGAAGUGGAGGCCUAGGCCCUUUUUUUUUUUUUUUUUUUCUUUGUCGACUGAGUGGGAUGUUUUCAGCUGAAUCCAAAUAGGGGGAUGUUUUCAGCCGAAUCCAAGGAGGGGGGAAAGCAUGACUCAUCAUCAUUUGUCAUGAUGUUGUUCCCACACUUCAUCAUCAUGUACUACUUUUCCUUUUCUUCUUUCAUAAUAUGCCAUCAAUGUGUUUAAUUUUCUUUUGCUUUGCCUUUCCUUUUUGGCUGGAAAGAUUGCCAUCUUUCCUCACAAUCGGAUUUGCUGCAGUCUUGUUGAAGGAAAUGUGGGUGUUGGAGCUAGGUAAACCAAGGAGGGUGUCUACGUAGAGGGAGUGGUAGCUCUUCAAUAUAACACCAUUUUCUGUGGCUCAAAUCGCAAAACCAUCUUCAUGAAAGUUGUUCCUUAGCUCGUGAACUACAACAUAUCCGAAUUGGAGAUCCAUCGGAGCAGUACAACUCCAGAAAUUCAGGUAUGAUGAGUGAUUGUUCGUCAUUUGUAUAUCAACGCGUCAGACUUGUUGUGAGCUUCAAAAACUCCAUUUUCUCUUGCUCAGAUCAACAUACUUUCUUCAUCGAAGUUGUUCCUUAACUUGUGAACUACAACAUAUCCAAAAUUGAGAUCCCUCGGAGCUGUAUAACUCAAGAAAU